Molecule: long non-coding RNA, 865 nt
Organism: Mesocricetus auratus (golden hamster)
Lineage: Eukaryota; Metazoa; Chordata; Mammalia; Rodentia; Cricetidae
Exons: 3
Source: RefSeq, a predicted model, not a curated record
CAGCUACUGGAUGAAGACUCUAGGAUGGCAUUUAAGCAGGAGAUGAAAGUGUCUAAGGACCAGGACACAGGAGUCUUGAAGAAGUAUGAGGAUGUCAGAAAGGAUGGAGCUGAGAGACAUGGCGGCUGAGGCAGGUGACGACAAGUGAGGGUACAAAUGCAGAGUGUACUUGCCCAUCAACAGAGCAAAUUUACCAAUCAGCCGUGAAACAUCCUGGCAUGCAAUUUGUUCCAAGUGACUGCAAAUAUCUGCAAAAAGUCAGGUCACUAAUGUUCACAAGCUACUGAAGAUACCUAGAAUCCCAUCCACAUCCAAUCAGAGAAGCCUUGGCAUUUCCAUUGGUGGUGUAAAGGCCAGAGGCUGUGGAGAUGAUGGAGUAAGGACAUUUCAGAUGCAGAGUAGACUCGAAUCUUUGGGAGUUACACAUUGGUGAAAAUCAAGCCCCAUCCUUAGGACCUGUUGCCUUAUUUGGUACAAUAAACUUUGCAGGUGUAAGUCUUAAAGUGGGUCUGUCAGUCUGGAAUUUGUCGGUGAGCUUGAUAUAAUCAUAAAAGCUGUAAUAAAUGAAAAAGAGAAGCCGUGGAGGAAAACCCCACUGCCACUGCUGGCCCUGAAAAGGUCAUGGGCUGCUACAAGCCCAUGAAAACAUGCCGCUGCCUCCAGAGUGUGUAAGGAAAGUCAGAAAACAAAGCAAUCUCCAGAACCCCCAGAAGAGACAUCCUGUCCACAUCCUUCUGAACCCAGUGGAAAUCCAUUUGGGAAUUCCUUGCCCCAGGACCUCAUAGUAAAUCUUCUGAAGUUUGAAACCAUUUAAUAUAAACUAAUAAACAUUUACUUUAAAAUAAUUUCCUCCUAUUUGUGUUAA